AGUGAACGCUGGCGGUAGGCCUAACACAUGCAAGUCGAACGGCAGCACAGUAAGAGCUUGCUCUUACGGGUGGCGAGUGGCGGACGGGUGAGGAAUACAUCGGAAUCUACUUUUUCGUGGGGGAUAACGUAGGGAAAAUUACGCUAAUACCGCAUACGACCUACGGGUGAAAGCAGGGGCUCUUCGGACCUUGCGCGAUUGAAUGAGCCGAUGUCGGAUUAGCUAGUUGGCGGGGUAAAGGCCCACCAAGGCGACGAUCCGUAGCUGGUCUGAGAGGAUGAACAGCCACACUGGAACUGAGACACGGUCCAGACUCCUACGGGAGGCAGCAGUGGGGAAUAGUGGACAAUGGGCGCAAGCCUGAUCCAGCCAUACCGCGUUGGUGAAGAAGGCCUUCGGGUUGUAAAGCCCUUUUGUUGGGAAAGAAAAGCAGCAGGUUAAUACCCCGCUGUUCUGACGGUACCCAAAGAAUAAGCACCGGCUAACUUCGUG
Molecule: ribosomal RNA, 492 nt
Filed under: uncultured bacterium
Lineage: Bacteria
Description: partial 16S ribosomal RNA
Rfam family: Bacterial small subunit ribosomal RNA
Source: RNAcentral